Molecule: small RNA, 77 nt
Filed under: Xanthomonas campestris pv. pennamericanum
Lineage: Bacteria; Pseudomonadati; Pseudomonadota; Gammaproteobacteria; Lysobacterales; Lysobacteraceae
Description: sX9 sRNA
Rfam family: Xanthomonas sRNA sX9
Source: RNAcentral
AUGUACCACUCGCACACUCCGGUUCUGAGCGCGCCGUCCGCGCCCACCUGACAGCUGCUCGCUACGUUUUGUUGGCC